GGUUAAACAAAAGCGCCAGAGCUUGACCUUACGGAUCGGGAUAUAGGUAACGGGCAAGCUGACGAGGUGAAGGUGUUCGGAUUUUUCGGCGGGGACCUUCCGGUGUGGCACCAGACCGUAACUUCAAAGCGGAAAACGGGCGGGCAACGGCCCGGACAACGCCUGAAGCGGUGCGCC
RNAcentral lists this non-coding RNA (177 nucleotides) under Paenibacillus sp. CECT 9249. Its description in RNAcentral is "glmS". It matches the Rfam family "glmS glucosamine-6-phosphate activated ribozyme aptamer". From Rfam's summary of the family: This entry contains a glucosamine-6-phosphate activated ribozyme that is found in the mRNA for GlmS. GlmS is an enzyme that uses fructose-6-phosphate and glutamine to generate glucosamine-6-phosphate. The ribozyme catalyses self cleavage of the glmS mRNA that is thought to regulate GlmS activity. The record is from RNAcentral. Lineage: Bacteria; Bacillati; Bacillota; Bacilli; Caryophanales; Paenibacillaceae.